GACGUAGGGCGCGAGCGUUGUCCGGAUUUAUUGGGCGUAAAGAGCUCGUAGGCGGCUUGUCGCGUCGACUGUGAAAACCCGAGGCUCAACUUCGGGCUUGCAGUCGAUACGGGCAGGCUAGAGUUCGGUAGGGGAGACUGGAAUUCCUGGUGUAGCGGUGAAAUGCGCAGAUAUCAGGAGGAACACCGGUGGCGAAGGCGGAUCUCUGGGCCAUUACUGACGCUGAGGAGCGAAAGCGUGGGGAGCGAACAGG
RNAcentral lists this ribosomal RNA (253 nucleotides) under uncultured bacterium. RNAcentral's name for it is "partial 16S ribosomal RNA". It matches the Rfam family "Bacterial small subunit ribosomal RNA", at positions 524 to 776 of the family's 1533-position model. The record is from RNAcentral.